RNAcentral lists this ribosomal RNA (460 nucleotides) under uncultured bacterium. RNAcentral describes it as "partial 16S ribosomal RNA". It matches the Rfam family "Bacterial small subunit ribosomal RNA", at positions 338 to 795 of the family's 1533-position model. The record is from RNAcentral.
CCUACGGGUGGCAGCAGUGAGGAAUAUUGGUCAAUGGGCGAGAGCCUGAACCAGCCAAGUCGCGUGAAGGAUGACGGCCCUACGGGUUGUAAACUUCUUUUGUCAGGGAGCAAUUGAGUCCACGUUUGGUCUUAGCGAGAGUACCUGAAGAAAAAGCAUAGGCUAACUCCGUGCCAGCAGCCGCGGUAAUACGGAGGAUGCGAGCGUUAUCCGGAUUUAUUGGGUUUAAUGGGUGCGUAGGCGGAAUAUCAAGUCAGCGGGAAAAAUUCGGGGCUCAACACCGUCGUGCCGUUGAAACCGAUGUUCUUGAGUGGGCGAGAAGUAUGCGGAAUGCGCGGUGUAGAGGUGAAAUGCAUAGAUAUCACGCAGAACUACGAUUGCGAAGGCAGCAUACCGGCGCUCAACUGACGCUCAUGCACGAAAGUGUGGGUAUCGAACAGGAUUAGAUACCCCAGUAGUC